GAAGCCUGAGGGGGCGGGGCCGGCGCGAGGCCGUGGGUGCGGCACGAGGAUGUCGGCGGCGGGACAGCGCCCGUAGGCAGCCCCACGGGCAGGGCGCGCGGGCGGGGCGGGGCACGCCGGGCCAGAGGAGCGCCCGGCAUGUCGCAAGGGCUCCCGGCCGCCGGCAGCGUCCUGCAGAGGAGCGUCGCGGCGCCCGGGAACCAGCCGCAGCCGCAGAGCCCUGAGGAUGAUGACAGGAAGGUCCGAAGGAGAGAAAAAAACCGAGUUGCUGCUCAGAGAAGUCGGAAGAAGCAGACCCAGAAGGCUGACAAGCUCCAUGAGGCUCAGGGAGAAUCCUCAGCGGCUUGGGCCCAGCACAGGAGAGGUCACUGCCACACAUUUGCCCUUGGCAUGGUCUCCAGAACCAUGCAUUGCAUCCUGGGAGCAACAUUUUCUGAGAUAUUCUGGUAAAUUGGAGUGUGUGUUGGUGAGGGUCCCCAGAACGGCAAAGAAGAGCCUGAUGCAAGGAACUCAGAGGACCUGAGAUGCUGUAUCCUAACAUUUCAAGAACUGCGAUAUUGAAAAACGCAUUGGAUCUACUAGAUGUGGUUCUAUUAAAUGGAACCAAACCCAACAGGUACAUUUGAAAGUGAGAGCGUUUGGAUCAGUACAAAGAAGAGUUUUUCUUUUCUUUUUUCUUUUCUCUCUUUCUCUUUCUCUCUCUCUCCUUCCUUCCUUCCUUCCUUCCUUUCUUCCUUCCUUCCUUCUUCCUCUUUUUGUUUUUUUGAGUUGGGAUCUUUCUCUGUUACCCAGGCUGGAGUGCAGUGCUGUAAUCAUGGCUUAUUGCAGCCUCAAAAUCCUGGGCUCAAGCAAUCCUCCUGGCAGAGCCUCUUGAGUACCUGGGACUAUAGGUGUGCAUCACCACGCCUGGCUAGUUAAAACAAAUUUUUUUAGAGAUGGGGUCCCACUGUGUUGCCCAGGCUGGUCUCAAACUCCUGGCCUUAAGUGAUCCUCCCACCUUGACCUCCCAAAGUGCUGAGAUUACAGGCGGGAGUCACCAUGCCCAACAAAGAGGAUUUGUCUAGUAGAGCAGCCCAGAAAUGACAGUCUGUCCAUUGAGGGCAGGAGUGCCCAGAACAAGUUGGAUAUGGAUGGUUUCUACAUUGUGUGGAUUGGGCUAAGGGACCCCUCUGAUACCCUGCAGUUCUACGCCUCUGUAAACCCUGAUGGAGAGGAAACUGAACAGGAAUAUGAGAGCCUGGAGCAAGAAAACACCAUGCUGCGGAGAGAGAUCGGGAAGCUGACGGAGGAGCUGAAGCACCUGACAGAGGCACUGAAGGAGCACGAGAAGAUGUGCCCGCUGCUGCUCUGCCCUAUGAACUUUGUGCCAGUGCCUCCCCGGCCGGACCCUGUGGCCGGCUGCUUGCCCCGAUGAAGCCGGGGACACUCCUCUGCCCAGCAAGGAGCCUUGGUCAUUUUCAUACCUGGGAGGAAGGCUUUUCCUUCACAAUUGUAUACAGGGGGCACCUGUGGCCAGGCCGCCUCCUGGGAGCUCCAGGACCAGCCAGCUGUGUUCCCUGCAGACUGGGCUCAGCCCGACAUCCAACAGGCGCCAAACUUACAGAGCCCUUGUGCAGAUCCAGCAUGGAGGCCACCCUCAGGAGUGAAUUCUCAUCCACCCUGGCAGCUAGUAGGUUCUGCUGUUAUGCAGAGCCAUUUCCUCUAGAAUUUGGAUAAUAAAGAUGCUUAUUGUCUC
Molecule: RNA transcript, 1735 nt
Organism: Pan troglodytes (chimpanzee)
Lineage: Eukaryota; Metazoa; Chordata; Mammalia; Primates; Hominidae
Gene: BATF3
Gene name: basic leucine zipper ATF-like transcription factor 3
Exons: 4
Source: RefSeq, a predicted model, not a curated record